GGCGCUCGAGGUCGAGGAGAUCCGCGUCGACAAGGAGACCAUGGAGAUGCUCGCGGCCCUCGGCAUGGCCGACCUCCCCGGCGUCGAGCGCCAGCAAGAGGUCUCCAACGCCCCCGCCUACGGCCGCCCGCAGUACGGUGGUCCCCGCCGUGACCGCGUCUAGGCUUCACGCUGUUAUCGCCGUGGUUGCCUCUUGAUCUGCCAUUCGUAGUUACUAUGCUACUUUGUUAAACUUAUCUUUGGUUGCUUCUGAGGCGGUUAAGUUUUGAACUUGUGUUAUGCUAUAAAUUCUUAAGUGUUUGGGUCUGCGUGUGAUGGACAUGAGAUUUAUAUUCUCGCGCCAAUGAAGUCUUAAGAUAUUUUAUAAGUUACUAUGAGAUGUUCCUACAUUUUUGUUUGUUUGCUCGUUAUCGUGCAUGUGACAUAGGGAUAUCUGAUUUAGUAAAUUGCAUGCCUUUAGAUCUAUAUUUAAAUUGGUGUUGCUGGUUUGUUCAUUGUGUCCUAUGCAGAUUAAAUCUGUUCGAUAUUCAUUCCAUCGCUGUACAAUUCCAUGCUGCCUAGGUGUGUGGCUGUUAGCUAGGGCUGCUGUGAUCUGGGUUGAUGAAGUCUUAUCAGUCCAAUGAGAUUUAGUUACAGUGUUACACAUUUUCAAUUUAAUUAGUUCUUUUCUAGUGAACUGAAUUGGCUGGCCAUAUUUGUUAGCCUCUUUUGAACACAUGCAAUUGGGUUUGCUUUCUUUCAAGUAUUACCAUAACCUUUUCUUAUGGCAUAGCAUUUUCACUUUCAUAUCUGCCAUACGCUUGUCCUUCAUGUCGUCAGCACUGGUUUUUUCAGUCCUUCGUUUCUAGUACUUUCACUUUCAUCCAUAUUUGCCAUAAACGUUCUACAUGUUGUCAGCACUGUGGUCAUUUCAUUUCUUUGUUUCUAUAUAGGAAACAUAGCUUGCUUGAAUCUAAUUGGUUAAUUUUGUUUCAUUUAAGUAGUUUAAAAUAACUUGGGGUUAAAAUUCAUUGUUAAUGCUGAAAUCUUUCUAUGAUACAGAGGUAAAUAGUGAUAUGUUGGUACAGCAUUAAAGUGGAUUUUUUCUUGAAUUCAAAAAUACCAUGUUUGUUUGUAUGUCAUGCCAAUUGUACAUUGUUUGAUGAUGUUUGGUUUUGUAGAAUGUUGCUUCUAUUUUAUGAAUAAUAUUGUUCAACUUGUUGCUUUAAAUCCAUAAAUCUCAGCUUCAUUAGUUUCACAAGAUAUGCUUGUUCUGAACUGCUGGAGGUGCAAGCCUCAUAUUUUUGUCCAGCAAGCAAAGUGGUGCCUGUCUGAUUCUUUUUUACUUUAAUCUGUUACCGUUUGUUUUAUUUUUGCGGGCAGAGUUUGGUGUUUAUUUUUUGGGGGCAGAGUAGAGGAAUAAAGAUGAUCGCUGAUGAGCCGUGUGAGGCUGUAUGAAUUAUGGAAUUAAUAUAAACACAACCUGAUUAGCAUCAGGAAUCAUUUGCUUUUGCCAAGUUUGUUUUUUUGUAUGGUUCCUGUUGUUUGCCAUAGGUAAUAUUGCUCCCCUAAGUUAAACAUGUUGCAGAUCUGUGGUUUAACUUUUUUACAUGGUUGCUUCUGUUGUGUUGAGCAUUAAACUUACCAGUUAUGGUAAAAUUUAAAAUUCUUUAGUCCGUGAUGGACGCUGUUUUGAAAACUGAGUAUGAGAUGUUGGGACUUGCAAUUAUUCAUGUGUAUUAUUCUGACUGCUGAAAUGUGAAAGCUGCCUUUAUUGUUGACCGCUGAAAUGUGGUGUAACGGUUAGCGAUUUCUGUACAAUGGUUGGCCGUGGUGCCGCGGUAUUUUGUCUCGACCUACAAAUUCGUAUACAGCUCUACACAUACGUUUAUAGGCGAUUUAGAUUUGUUUCACUCUAAUCUUACGCAAGCGUUCAUUUUUUCUUGAUUUUCGGCCUCGGGCCAACAUGGAAAGGCGAGUAGAAGACUUGCAAAGUGACAGCCGGUGUAUCCUGCGUGCUGAUCUUGCACAGGAAAGUGCCCCAAAUAUUGUUUUCCAUCCGUCAUUUGGGCUUUGUAGACCCAUAUUUCGUCUUGCAUUUUAAGGAAAUGACUCGAAACAGUAGAUUAUAAAUCGCUGUAGACAAGAUAUAAUCAAAUUUUAAUCAUCGACUAGGAUAAGACUAUUUCUGAAACGGUGAAGAUUACAAAGGCGUGAGGCAACUCAACUGAUGUUGCAUCAGGACACAACUCUACAAGGCCGUGGAUCCGUGUAUAUGCCAGAAUGAUUGGUAUGGUGCGGGUGCCAUCCGGCUCCACUAGCCUUGCUGGCCCUAAAAAUUUUGGUUCCGAGGAGCCGACGACUCCAUGUUCCAGGUCAACUCCGGUUCUCCGCCUCAGAGGCAGCUUGCCCGCCCACCUUCGUUAGCCGGCCGCUGGGGCGCCGGCGCUAGCAUCGCCGCAUGCCGGCAGCCGGCAGGUUUGACCAGUGACUAGUGCGUGUCCUUCCUCUAGCCUCUUUAUCUCAGGUUUCAUUCCUCGCUUUGGUCUGGUGCAUCUUAUGCUAAGGCCUCGUUUAGUUCACCUCAAAAACAAAAAAAUAAAAAUUUUUAAGAUUUUUUGUUACAUUAAAUCUUGCAGCAUAUGCAUGGAGCAUUAAAUAUAGAUUAAAAUAAAAAUUAAUUGUACAGUUUGUCUGUAAAUCGUAAGACGAAUCUUUUAAGCCUAGUUACUCUAUGGUUGAACAAUGUUUGUCAAAUAAAAACGAAAGUGCUACAGUAGCCCAAAGCAAAAAAAUUUGGGAACUAUAGUUCAUAAAAUUUUUUAAGAUUCCUUGUCACAAAUCUAGCAUUUUUGUUUUUAUUUGACAAACAUUGUCCAAUCGUCGACUAACUAAGCUCAAAAGAUUCAUCUCGCGAUUUACAGUGUGUAAUUAGUUUUUGUUUUCAUCUAUAUUUAAUAUUCAAUGCAUGUGCCGUAAGUUUUGAUGUGACAGAGAAUCUUGAAAAUUUUUUGGUAGUUUUUGGGAACUAAUCAAGGCCAUAGACGAAAAUAAAAACUAAUUGCACAAUUAGACUGUAAUUUGCGAGGUGAAUCUUUUGAACCUAGUUUGUCCGUGAUUGGACAAUAAUUAUCAAAUACAAACAAAAGCGCUACGGUAGUCAAAAGCCAAAAUUUUUGCGAUAUACAACAAGGCAUAAUUUUGCUCGGCGUAUUUUGGGCUCGAUAGGUACUUACUUUCACAGUACAUAGCAGUCCGAUUCUUUUGUUUGUAGGAGUUGGAAAAAGAUUGGAAUAGGUCAUUUAUAGAUCUGAUAUAUUCUUAUAAGAAAAUUAAAGGUGAUCACUGAUUUUAAUAGGUGCACCAGAAGUUAAGAAGCACUGGAUUGUGAUUUAUGAUCGCCACGCACCGAAGUUUGGCUUCUGGUGAUGUUUACGCUGAUUAGUUGAGAGAAAAACAUUUAGUACUGUUAAAGUAGUGUUGAAAAAUAUGGUGUUUUCUUUAAUUCAGUUUUGAGAGGAAAACUCGACUUGACUACAAGAGCUCAAUGACCCUUCUACUUUUCUUUUCUCUUUUCUUCUCAUCUACUAGUAGAAUACAGUGGCAUCACAAAAAUAAAAGAUUUGGGCCUUGUUUAGUUCCGAAAAUUUUUUGGUUUUCGAAACUGUAGCACUUUCAUUUUUAUUUGACAAACAUUAUCCGAUCCUAGAGUAACUAGGCUUAAAAGAUUCAUCUCGCGAUUUACAAAUAAACUGUGCAAUUAGUUUUUACUUUCGUCUAUAUUUAGUGCUUUAUGCAUGUGCUGCAAGAUUCGAUGUGAAGGGAAAUCUUGAAAAGUUUUUGGAUUUUGGGGUGAACUAAACAAGUCCCAUUGAUCGGUUUUCUUUGGACAUGUGUAGAUUCGAAAGAUGGGGAAAAUCCUGCAUACCACUACUGAAUGUUGAUUACUGCAUCCACUGUCCCAAUGGGAACCAUGACCAUUUUUUAAAAACUAAACGGCCGGAGCACUACCAUAUCAUUUAAGGAGAGGAAGCAUAUCAUUUGAGGAGAAGGAGCAAACGGAGUUUUACAAAAGUGUUACAUGGCCUUGUUUAGUUCUCAUUUAAAUUUUCUUUCAUCCCAUUCCAUUGAGGCCUUGUUUACUUCCAACAUUUUUUACAAAAUAUGAAUAGUAGCACUUUCGUUUAUAUCUGACAAAUAUUAUCCAAUUAUAGACUAACUAGGCUCAAAAGAUUCGUCUCGUCAAUUCCGAUCAAACUGUGCAAUUAGUUUUUAUUUUCAUCUAUAUUUCAUACUCCAUGCAUACGUUUAAAGAUUCGAUGUGACGGAGAAUCUGAAAAAUUUUGCAAAAUUUUUUGGAAACUAAACAAGGCCUGAAUGUUGGACAUAUGCAUGAAGCAUUAAAUAUAGAUAAAACACUAUUGUACAGUUUUUAUGUAUUUGCGAGAUGAAUCUUUUGAGCCUAGUUAGUCUAUGACUAAACACUAUUCCCUCUAUCCUGCAAUAGAGUGCACUAUGACUUCUAAAAUUUAUAUUGAAAUACAAUGUAUUCUAUAUAAUGACUGUUUCGAUUUAACAAAGUUUGUUAAAAAGAAAGUCAUGAUUUGAGGAGAAAUUUUAUAAUUGAAAUAAUCUAUGGGGAUGUGUUCCCUUAAGUUAUCUUAAAAUUUUUAGAACGCACCAUAUUAGAUGCCUGGUUUGAGCGUUAUACAUGUGCUAUAAUACCCAAAAACUUUUUAGGGUGAACUAAACAUGCCCUAUAUAACAGAUAGAACUUGACAUAUAUUCUCAGUAAAGCAAGCCUCCUGAGAUGAAUCUCCUCCUUUAUCAAGCCGAACACUUGACGCUGUGAAAGCGUCCAUCCUUCAACAAUUCUCCGGUUUCGCUCAUGCCAGAUGUUCCAGGUUGCAUACAUAUGAAAGGCCGCGGUUGUUCUUUGUUGGUUGGAGUCUAUUCCUUGCAGCACUGAUGCCCACCAUUCCUCCAGAGUGAUGAGAUCGUCAGUAGCCGGCGCGAGAGGGGCUACCACCAACCCAAGAACUCAUGAGAGUUCAAACUUCGUUGGCAAACCGGCAUUAGAGGCAAAGAUGCGUCGUAGAUUCAGGUUCAUGAUCACAAGACGCACACAACGUUGCAGGUCGAUUCCGCUUGGCCAAAUUGUCGCCGGUUAGAAUCUUUUCUUGAACACAAAGGAACCAGGCGAAGAAUAUGUGCUUUCCUUCAGCGUGCACCUUCCAGAUAGAUUUUUCACUGAAUGUGCAGUAGGAUCCCCUGAAUAUGCCGAUUUAGCACUACAUUCUCCAUAUGCAGUAGGAUCCCCUGAAUGUGUGCACCUUCCAAAUAUGCCGAUUUAGCACUAUAUUCUCCAUUUGAUGUCCACUUCCAUUCAAUUUUGUCUGCCUGAUUAGAUAGCUGAACGUGCUGAACAAGGUCCCAAAGAUGAAUAGAUUCUGCCAUUUGCUGUACUGAUUCCAUUCACCAAAGACCCCUUGUUCAGUUAUGGUUGGUCACAUCAUCCCUGACUGAUCGAUCUCUUCUUUCCUCAUGCAAGUGGAUACAGACUUGGAGCCAGAUCCAUGGGGGCUUUACCAUUUAAGAACUGUGCCAUGACAUUUCUGAAACCUUGAUAUUGGCCUAAUUAAUACAUCCACGGUUACCUUUUCAUAUGCGCAGAGAGAAUGACCACAAUUAAUGUGAUCCAUGCUUCUUUGUUAUUUGUUUCAAGUGUGUUGCCGGACCUCUCUUUAACCUAAUACCAUUGUGCCCUAUACAUAUGUUUCAUUUAGAGUCUGCUAAGGGUCAUUAUUAGCAAAACCAUAUGUGCCUUUUUUUUCUUGUGUUAAUGACAACUGGGCCUUAAAGAGCUAGCAAAACCAAUGGCAAACAAUGACAAUCAUUUGAAAUUGUGCGGAUUAGGUAUCUUAGUACUUUUGCUAAAAAAAGUAUCUUGGUACUUAAGAAAGAGUGAUAUGUAUGGAUUUUGUUUUUCAAGAAAGACAAUUCAAAUACUAGCUACUUCUUCCGUCCCUUUUUAAUUGCCGCUUGCGCUUUCCAAAAAACAAUUGUCGGCAAUUAUAUAUUAAAAAAUAUUAAUAUUUAUAAUACAUAAUUAGUAUCAUUAGAAAGAUAUUUGAAUUUAGUUUUUUAAUAAAUUUAUUUGGAGAUACAAAUGUUACACGUAUUUUCUACAAAUCGAGUCAAACUUGUGAUACAAACACCAACGACGACAAUUAAAAAGAGACAUAGUGAGUACGUUACUAAUAAGGUUCCCGGUUUAUUUUUAGACGGCAUAAGAAUCUAUGCUAACCGAGCCUAUGAACCUCUCUAGAUUACUUUACUCCUAGUACAUAAGAAGAUAAGAUCAUAAGAGUAAUAUAAUAGCGGUCUCACUAAAUAGCGAACGUUCAUCAGAUUUGAAUCUAGCGAACGAUCAGACAGCCCCUACAACUUUCCUUUUUUGGCAAAAGAAGAAAUCCCGCAAUUUUCUAUUUUUGGAAAGUUUUCUAUUUUAGGCAAAAAAAUCGCUACUUUUCUUUUUUGAAAAUUUGUACUCACAACUUUUACGUAAAACUUAUGGAACAGACUUUUACGUAUGACUCAUACAUGACUUUAAUAUAUACCUUCACUGUGACAAAGUUACACACAUAACUUAUACAUAUAACUUACUACAUGAUAAAGUUAUACGCAUAACUUUUAUCUAUAAUAUUUUAUGGAACAAGUUUAUCAACAUAAUUUAUGACGAGACAAUUUAGCGAAAGUUCAAAAAAGUUACAACUAAAACUUAAGCAGAUAAUUUAAUUAAACCAAUUUUAACAUAUAAGUUAAUAACUGCAAGUUAAGCACAAAAUAUAAUAAAUCAAAUAGCUUUGCAAAAAGUUAGACAUAAAAGAUUAUAAUUAUAAGUUAAUAUCUACUAGUUACAUGUAGAAAGUUAAAUAUAAAAAUUGUGUACAGAAAGUUAGAUAUAAAAGUUACGUGCAAAAAGUAAAUAAUUAUAAAAUUUACAUCUAGCAUUUGAAAAUAAAUGUUUUACUUUUUUGUGACAUCAGCGGUGGUUAUGGAAAAGCACGCUAGAAAAGAAGGUAGUUUGAACCUUUGAUAUAUCAAAUCUAAGUGAACGGUCGCCCAAAUAAAAUAAGGGUUGACAACAUAUAUAAAAAGAAAAAAAUGAUAGACUUAUAUAAAAAAUAAAAAGAGAAAAAUAGGCAAAAGAAAAUUAAAAAAAUGUUUUAUAACUUUUGUGUUUUAAAGUUUUGACAUAAGUUCUAAGUUACAUGGUAUAAGUCAUAUGGUGAUAAGUUUUGCAAAGUGGUAUACCAAGUUGUUAGUAUAAUUUAUAGAAAUAAGUUAUAACAUAUAUGUAUAACUUAGUUAUCUUCUAAAAGUAGAAAGUUACGGAAAUUAUCAUUUCUAAAUAAGGAAAGUUGCGGGAGUAGCUGAUGGUUUGCUGGAUUCGUUACUAGCGAACGAUUGUGGAACUGGAUUUGUGAUAUAAUAGGAGUAAUGUGGAGCUUAUGAGUUGAGAGCAAAAUUGACGCGUGCUUCUUGGACAAUGAUACAUAGGCAUUUUCGUUUGUUUAUGACAAAUAUUGUUUAAUCAUAGACUAACUAGGAUCAAAAAAUUUAUAUCACGAUUUACGGACCAACUGUAUAAUUAGUUUUUGUUUUUAUCUAUAUUUAAUGUUUUAUGUAUGUGCUACAAGAUUCGAUAUGACAGGAAAUCUUUAAAAAAAAUUUGGUUACGAGAACAAGGCCAUAACAAAAUCUUGGCUUCCAUUUCUGUCCGUGGUUCGAAUAUUCUCCUUUGACCAAUUCCGCUGAAAGUGACGGCUACCAUCAAAUCGGAGCACAGAGUUGCCAUCUUUUUGCUCGCUGAUGAUGCCAAUCAAUCCCCUCUCUCGCUCAUGAAUAAGCUCCCAUGGCCGGAAGCCCGGAGGCAACUCCAGACCCAGUCCCUCGCUGACACCAGCACGAACCCACGAGAGCAAGAAACCACGCACCGCGUCGCGUCUCACCCUACCCCCAUCCCAUGGCGGGCUCAGAUCGGAACAACAUCGUCAUCGCCUGCUUCGCCCUGCUCGUGUCGAUCUCCGCUCUCCAAGUCCCAUCCUGCAUCAUCGACGACGAGCGGGGUACUAGUACUAGUACUAGUGCGGGCACUACUACCGCAGCUGCUGUCACGGCAUCCGCGUCCGCUCCGCCUCCCCUCUUCGACGACGGCGCUCUGAUGAAGGCGGCCAUGCUGGCGCUGGCCGGGAUGGAUGCACUCGUCAUCGCCGCGGCGGUCAUCUACAGCCGCCACACGCACCACGCCGCCGUGGGCGCAGGCGGCGGCGGCAACUGGCGUGUCUCGGAGCUCGCCUUCUUCGUCUUGUGCCUGCAGCUGCAGGUCGGCGUCCUCCAGUUCGUCCUGUUCGUCCAGGAGCCCACAGCAGCUGCCCGUGAGCUCGGGGCCAGUGCUGCCCGUGCUUUGCCCUGCGUUGCCUUCGUCACCUUCUUCCUGGGCAUCACGCUCAUCUACGCGCACGUUGACGUUGGUAACGGCGGCGGAGCUGCCGGAGGUGCUGUCGCUGGCGAUGGACCAGUCCCGGCGCCCGCCACGGCCACCGUCAGGCUUCUUGCUGAUAUGACGCUCGGGGCUGCAUUAGCCUGCCUGAUGAGCAUCAUCCUCGCCUUGUUCUACAUCAAAACCAAGUGAGUAUGAGUUCAUUUCCUUAAAUAAUGAAAUACUGUCGUUGUUCUCUUCAUUUCUGGGAUUUGGAAUUCUGAAACGGGGAGCCGGGGACCGCUCCCCGCUCCGCCGCUCGAUGAGGAAGGGGAUACGUCGUGCGGUUUCAAUUCUUUGGGGAGCAGGAGCACAGCUGCUGAGGCCGGAGUUGGAGGUGGUGGUCAGUGGUGCACUGAAUCUGAUGCCUGAUGCAUGCAAGCUGCUGCUGGAGUGCUCACCAAAGGCAUGCUAUAGGUCAAGAUCGCGGGCGUUCUAGGCUCUAGCCAACAUCACCGGACACCAUGUUGAGCCGUUGAGGUUGGGUUUGGUUUGGGUGAAGGAUAGGCGUCGUGACGGCCUAUAAAACCCCACCCCACUAGCAGGGGCCGCCCACCUCCCUUAGCUUGCCGCCGGUGAGGUCGCCGGAGCCGUUGAGCUGGAAGACGUCUCUCUCUCUCUCUCUCUCUCUCUCUCUCUCUCUCGUUGUGAAAUCUCAGCGACUUGUUGAGGUGGGGAGCGAGCGCCAGCGGACUAGGGGCCGUUCAUCCUGUCGUCUCGUGCCCGACGACAGACCUGCACUACACGCUUUGCGACGGCGUCGGGUCACGUAGUCACGAGUGCGAGGGCGACGCGCACCGGCGCACGCCAAGACCGACAGGAUGAACGGCCGAACGUGCCGCCGGACGCACUUCAGCUGUUGAGCAGCCGGCAGCGCCACCGCGUGGUCCUGGGCUUGGCCGGCCGUUUGGGGACUGUACGGUCGUGCGCUUCUGAUGAUCUUGUUCUUAUAUCGCCGCUCGAGGGCGCUUACAUCUUACAGUAGCUGAAUUCAAUAUCUUAUAUAUCUUUUUUUUUGAAGGCAAUAAUAUCUUAUAUAUCUUACAGUAGCUGAAUUCAACUUGUCAAUAAUCAGCUCUUUCACUGACCUUUUCCCCAUUAAAAUCUACUUGUUCGCUCUUUGCAAUAUUCAGUUAUUUUGUUAUUACAUGCUGAGAAAUUCCCUGAAUGUUCGUUAUCAAUUUUUCUGUGUGCAGGUGACAUUCAAAUAUACAAUUGAGGCGUUGGUGAACCUGAGAAUUACAUACCUAAACUACUUACGUAGUUUGGUGAACCAUCUGAUCUGAUGGUUCGUGCAUUAUUGGCAUAUACUAUGAUCUGGCUGUAAUAAAAAUCUCCUGAAAGAUAAGUGCCUUCUGCUUGGCUAUUUAUUUUGAAAAAAAAGUGAGGCCUACGACAGUUUGGGCCUUGUUUAGUUUUUUUUUUUUUUGCAAAAUGGAGUCUGUAAUACUUUCGUUUGUAUUUGACAAAUAUUGUCCAAUCAUGAAUUAAAUAGCCUCAAAUGUUCAUCUCGCAAAUUACAGACAAACUGUGCAAUUAACUAUUUUUUAUCUAUAUUUAAUGCUCCAUACAUGUGCCAUAAGAUUUGAUGUAAUGAAAAAUUUUAAAAAAAUUGCAAAAGUUUUUAGAAACUAAACAUUAGCCAAGAUAUAUGGACUUGAUGGACGUAAAUGUUCCAACUCCUGAUCAUAAGCAUUAUUAAUAGUAUCUUGACUACCUAUUCUGAUUUUUCGUGGGAGCCAUCGGCCAUAAUUGACAGGUUGAAUGAAUGAACCAUGAACGUCACGAUUCAUGAACUUACUCGACGGGUUCGAUGUGGACCAAUAAAGGUUCUUCCCAUUUGGGCCUUAUUUAUAAUUAGUUUCCGAAGAAAAAAAUUUUGUGAUAAUGUAGUACUUUCGUUUGUUUGUGAUAACUAUUGUCUAACCAUAGACUAACUAGGCUUAAAAGAUUCGUCUCGUCAAUUCCGACCAAACUAUGCAAUUAGUUUUUAUUUUCAUAUAUAUUUUAUACUUUAUACAUGUAUUUAAAGAUUCGAUGUGACAGGAAAUCUUAAAAACUUUUGGGUUUUUUAUGGAAGUAAACAAGGCCUUGGUUUUAUGUCUGAUAUGCGUCACAUAAAUCCUACUAGUACUAUAUAUCAAGGUACAGUAAUAACUACAAUAAGCAAUGGCAAACUGUCCCUGGAUUGGGAUGUGCAGUGGAACAUUCCUGCAGGAUGCAAAACGCACCGAUCGAGCGAGUCACUUAUCCGUUGCUGCUGGACAGCUGGAGUAUCGCGGGGGCACGUCAGCUCACUCGUCGUGCUCGGACUUGGGGCAACGUCGAAUGCAACACGCAGAAGGGCGGCGACGUACCUUUUUUUUUUAAUAAAAGGUUUCCCUUGUUUUAUUACCAUAAAGCGAUUCACAACAGUCAAGAUCCUAGUCUGUGCACCCAGAGCACAACCGCAGCCAUAAGACUAAAAACUGAGCAGCGAACAAAGUGCAAAGCCCAGACAAAACUACUUCCUAUUACAUGGUAUAAUGAUCGCACUUGCUGAGUCCUCCGAAACUGGAACAUUGGAUUGUACCGACGCUAAUGAAUCCAUCCACAUGAUCAUUGGUACUGAGCCAGCUUCUGCCUCCACUAACUGAAUUAUCCUCUCCAGCUUCUCCUGAACUUCCAUCUUGAACAUUGGCAACAAUCCUCUUAGCAUUCUCCCAAUCAUUGCAAAAACUUUCCCCAUUCCACUCCACGGUAUCCCCUGAAAACAUAACAGAUUACGUAAUUUCCACAAAACCCAGAGAACAGCAGAAGACACAAUAUUACAAAUCAUAUAUCUCUUGUUAGCAAUCCACAAGGAGGCAACAGAUUCAAAACCCUCCUCUAACCUCCUAUCCAACCAGACCGUAAAAGAAGCCCAAACAUGUUUAGCCACACAACAAUGGAAGAACAAAUGAAAAUCGACUCUCGAUCAUUACAAAACAUACAAGUCGGAUCACUAACUUCUUUUCUUUUAGCGAGGUUAUCUCUAGUUAGCAGCUUAUUGUUAGCUAAAAGCCACAAGAAGAACUGCACCCUUGGAGGAAUAUUCAAUUUCCACACAGCAUGAAUGAACACUGGAGUAACUCCUCUAUGAUUUAUAAUAGCAUAUAAGGAUUGGACAGAAUAAUGACCAUUAGAGCUAAAGCUCCACAAAAUAUUAUCUUCUUCUUCAGUAAGCCUAAUGCUAUCACCAACUUCACUCAAAUCCUGCCACAUAAGCAUCAAACGCUCUGACACAUUACGUCUAAAAGAAAGCUGUAAUUCCUCUCCAUUCCAGACAUCACUAAUUGUCUUCCCAUGCUGCUCAUUUAAGACAUAUAAAGGCCAGAACAAAAUAGCAAGACUAGUGUUUCCUAGCCAAUGAUCCUCCCAGAACCUAACUUUCCUACCAUUACCAACUACCCAACGAAUGCCCAUAUGAGCAGCUUGCAUCGCCCAGAUAACCCCUUCCAAAAGGGAGAUACCCCUAGAUUAGAACAGCAGAAAAUAUUAGGUUUAUUAGUAUUAUACUUGAAGUCAACCAAUUUAGUCCAAAUGGAAUUGGAGUUCAUAUGGUAUCUAAAAAUCCAAGAGCUUAACAAUGCUAUAUUUAAGCUUCUCAGGUCAGGAACACCUAAGCCACCCAUAUCUUUCUUCUGAGAAACAAGUUGCCAAUUGGCAAGGUGAUACUUAUGCUUGUCCUCGGUAUUAUUCCACAAAAAGUGGCUCAUAUGGGAAUUGAUCAAAUCAAUAGCCCAUUUAGGAAAUUUGAUAAUGGAGAGAAGAUAGAUAGGGAUACUGGCUAAACAUGACUUGAGAAGGGUCAGUCUGCCUGCAUAGGACAGAAGUCUUCCUUUCCAGCCAGCAAUCCUCUUUAAAAUCUUAUCUACAAUAGGUUGUAGAUCUUCUCUUCUUAGUUUAUUGAAAUGCAAAGGCACUCCCAAGUAUUUAAUUGGAAAGUUACUUUUCUUACAGCAGAAAAUCUUUGCAAACUCGUUUGCCCUGUCCUCUCCUACCCCAACUACCAACAAAUCACUCUUAUCAUAGUUAAUUUUCAUGCCAAAUAACUGUUCAUAACAAACUAGCAACCACUUUAGAUUUUCUGCUUUGUCUAAAUCAUUUUCUAGAUGCUCAUGAGAGCGGCUAGGACUAAUCUCAUUUCUGGUCUUCUACCUCAGGCUGAACCUGGGGUUAUUAUCAGCCUUCAAUAUGCUGAUGAUACAUUACUUUCCUCUGAUGAUACGCUCCUCAGGCGGCGACGUACCUUAGAGGAGCGUAUCUCAACAGGGAGCGAUGGAGACGGCUGCCAAGACAGGAGGGAAUUUUAUCUUGGCUCUAUAACUUUCUAAGGAGAUGUUUGGUUAGGAUUGUUAAAGUUUAACAGAUAUGUAGUAUUUUUGUUUUAUUUGGUAAUUAGUGUCAGUCAUGCAUGUUGCCUCCAACUUUCGGUAUACAAACACCUCACAACUUGAGGUAUUCUCGGCAGUGUAUCAAUUAACAAAACAACAACAAAAAAAAAUGAAACAAAAACCUCUCCCCUUCAAAUUCUUGAGAGAACAAAUUAAUAGCAUCACCAAGAAAUACAGAAAAACAAAAGAAUUGAUGAACAAUCUGUCAGCUAAUUAUGUACACUUGCAAAUUCGCAAUCCCCACUCAUGCCCUGCUCAGUGUCGGCGGGCUCUCCGGUCUCUUCACGGCGCUGGCGUACCGGCUCCGCAGCGGGCUCUCCGCGUGCACGGCCGACAUGACGUGCCUCUUGCCCUGCCGGCUGCCCGCCUCCGCCUCCGCCUCCGCUUCCACCUGGUCGUCGUUGGCCACAGUGACAGCGACAGCGUCCUCGACGACCUGCGCCGUUGCCGUCGCCGCCUCGGCCGCGCCGACCGUGAAGACGAAGGGUCCCAUGGGCACGUCGUCGUCGAGCGCCAGGAGCGGCUCGAGCGCGUCGACGACGUCGCGCAUGUUGGGCCUGGCCUUGGGCACGCUCUGCAGGCACUGGUGCGCGACCUUGGCGGCCUUCUCCGCGGCGGUCGCCGAGUACUGCAUCUCCAGGCUCGGGUCCAUGAACCGGUGCAGCCUGUCGGCGCGGCGGAGGUAGGGGCGCGCCCAGUCCACGAGGUUCUGCUCCCGCCGCCCGCGCCGCUUGUCGACGGAGCGCCGGCCCGUGAGCAGCUCCAGCAGCACCACGCCGAAGCUGUACACGUCGCUCUUCGCCGUCAGGUGGCCCGUCAGGAUGUACUCCGGCGCCGCGUACCCGUGCGUGCCCAUCACCCGCGUCGUCACGUGCGUCGCGUCACCCUGCGGCCCUUCCUUGGCCAGCCCGAAAUCCGACAGCUUCGCCGUGUAGUCCUGAAAAAUGAAAUUGCAAACUUGAGGUCAGACACGAUUCGGCAACAUUUGUGUGUGUCUUUUUUUUAGGGAAAUUCGGCAACAAAGUUGUGUUUUUUUGGGGAAAUUCGGCAACAGUUGUUUGAGGAAGACCACUGUGUAUUUGUAGUGGUUGAGAUGAAUACAAAUACAUCAGUGUUUGUUGCGUUCUGCAACUGCUACAAAAGCAUCUGGUUCCAAAAUCCAAACUAACCACAGUAUUAUAAUGCUCCAGCUAUGUUAUUCCUAACGGCCGGCCGGCACCUAGAAUAAAACCAGAGGCUUUUGCUAUAAUUUGUCGGUAGUUGCAAAGCAAAUCAGAUUUGAGCACGAGUGUGCGUCGACUAUUCCUGACUGAAUUCUUAAGGAGGAGGAAGGCUUUGACACGGAACGGUUGACAACGUGCGAGCAAUUACCAUGGUUGGCGUGUAGGUUAGAAACAUUUUCAAUAUAUAGCGGAGAAAAAUACAGUUCCCUUGGUAAAUAAAGAAUCUGCAACGUGCAUGACAACGACUUAAGCACCCAAUGAGGCAAUUCUUUACCGUCCUAAAAUUGCUCGCUCGUCAGUAAAGAGGUCCUAAAAUGUGCUGCAUGCUAGCUGUUAUCUGUUGAUUGAUUUCUGAGGAAGGGAAAAAAAGUACUGUAAAAGAGAUUGGACUCGGUGAGGCUUGCUUACCGAGUCGAGAAGAAUAUUGGAGGCCUUGAAGUCGCGGUAGAUGACGGGCGUCUCGGCCUCGUGCAGGAACGCCAGCCCCUUGGCGGCGCCGACGGCGAUCUUGAGCCGCGUCGACCACGGCAGCGACGCGAGGAGAUCUGCAGCCAAGCACAUGUAAACCGGAUCCGUUACUCAACUGAUCGAUCGGAGACACUCAAAUUAUAGUGUAAUAAGUUGCAGUAGUUCUUACUCUUGAAGAGAUGGUUCUCGAGGCUUUGCCUGGGCAUGUACUCGUACACCAGCAUCCGGUGGUCGUCCUGGUUGCAGAAGCCCACCAGCUUGACCAGAUGCGGAUGGCUCAGCAUCCCGAGGUACACCACCUCCGCCUGUGAUGAAAACAAUUCAAGACAGCGCAACCAGAUCAGGACUCGAUUCAGAUUUCAUCAGCACGCAACCAGAUCAGAACUGUAUGCGAUUGAGAAUCAAAUAAAUCAGCAGGUUGGCAGAGGAGAGAGGGUGACGGAUGGGAAAUGGGAAAACCGUACCAGCCACUCGCGGUGGCCCUGGACGCCGUCGCUGUCGAGGUACUUGACGGCGACGUGCUGCGGCUGGAGCCCCGGGCGGAGGCGGCCGUCGACGAAGCCCUUGUAGACGGGGCCGAACCCGCCCUCGCCGAGGAAGUUGGAGGUGGAGAAGUUCUUGGUGGCGGCCUUGAGCUCGUCCAGCGUGAAGGCGUGCAGCUUGGUGGUCUCCAGCUUCCGCGACAGGUCCUGCAGCGACAGCGACCGAAGGUUCGCCGUGCUCAGCCGCCGCAGCGUCGGCUUCCCGCCGGGACGCCUGCUCGCCGCCGGCCGCGCCGCAGACUCCUGCUCCUGCUCCUGAUGAUGGCCGCCGGCCCCGAAGCACCCCAGCAGGCGCUCCCGAAGCCCCAUUAGGACCAAACCUUGGAAUAUGAUAAUUUUCGUACGUCUACGCUCGCCGGCGAAGAGAGCCUUGGACGGAGCUAGAGAGGGUGUCGGUCGCUGGCGAUUGGCGAGGUGGAGGACACGGCGCGGUGGCGGCAGGGUAUAUAAAGGCAAGUAGGCAGCGGCUUUCUGUGGGUGUGGGUGUGGCUUCGAGGUGGGUGAAGGUUGGGGAAGCGUCGCCUUUUUGACUUUGGGGUGGGGGGUGGCCGGGAGGUUAAUUAUCGCUAAUCUAAUUGGGCAGGUGAUGGAAUUAGCAGGAGUGAGUGCUUGAAUCAUUGGUGAUGCCGGGGUUAUCGGGUGAAAGCUCCGUGAAACGUACUAUCAUCUCAUCUGGCGUUUUUUUUUUUUUUUGUGAACGAUUAUCAUAUGGCGUUGGUGAUCGCUGAUGUGGGCAUCGACGUGUAUGGAUCGACGAUGCCUGCCUGCCUGCCUCGCCGGAGCCGAUGGGGACGCGCCAACAACUGGGGGACGAAACAGGCCGGCCCCCCGUUCUUAUCGGUAGGGACUAGGGAGUGGUAGGGCAGUUAGUUAGACUGUUUAUGUUAGAGUGAUGUGUGCUAGUUACCAGACAGGCCUGCGCAUUGCUAGUAUUUGUUUUCUCGGUUUUAUGGUCUUGUUUAGUUGCUGAAUUUUUUUAUAAAAUGGUAUUAUAGCAAGUUCGUUUGUAUUGGAUACGAAUAGUGUAAUUAGUUAUUUUUUUAUUUAUAUUUUAAUGUUUCACGUAUGUAUCGUAAGAUUCGACGUAACGAGAAAUCUUAAUUAUUUUGUAAAAUGGUUCAGGAACUAAAUAGAGUCAUGGAUAUGGAUGGUAGAUUGGUAGGGCAGCUUAUGGAUCUCUUUUGUAUGGUUGCGUUCCAACUCCCGGCAGGCCAACACGACUGACCGUCUGUAUACUGUACACUCGUACUUGCAGGCCUGGCCUGGCGCAGCCUUUUGUUGUUUGUUUUAAAAACUCGAUCUUUGUCGUUAUUAUUGCUCAUGCAUUUUUGUUUCUUCGUCAUAUACUAGCGGGUGGUUUCGUUAGUUGGUUCGGUUGUGCCUUCUUGUUCAUUUUUUAUUUGUUUUUGUAUUGUUCGAUUCCUUGGUUAGUUGCAUGAUUGAUCUUAAAUAUAGAAGAAAAGGUAGUACGUUGUACCUGUUUUAAUAUAGAGGCAAUUCACGUGCUUAAAAAAUACAGUCGAGAGCUAGCUACUGAACCAUCAGCCCCUGUUGUUAGCUUUUCUCCAAAGACACGAGAGCUUUUUCACAUUUAUGUAUCGAGAAGCUCAAAGAUGCACAAAGGACCAAAGGUUGAUCAUCCACUUCUUAGAGGUGUGUUAAAAUAAGCCCUUCACAGCUAAAGGUCUGACCAUUUCGUUCCCACCGCGCGCCAUCCAGAGUUCUGCUUCAACUCAAACAUACACGCACCAACACCCCAUUCGUGAAGCACAGUAAUUUACUUUCUACCGCUAAAAAAUUAGUUUGCCUGACUGAGCUAAGCUCAAUUUAAAUAUGUAGGAGUAUUUAUCUUUAAGUGGCAUUUUACUUUUGGUAACUGGUUUUUUCGUCGAAUAAAAUUCCAGCAAAGCUCUUUCCGCCUUUUAGAAAACUUAGGCCUUGCUUUCGCCCCAAAAACCAAAAACUUUUCAAGAUUUAUCGUCACAUCGAAUCUUGCGGCACAUGCAUAGAGCAUUAAUAUAGAUGAAAACAAAAAUUAAUUACACAGUUUGUCUGUAAAAUUAUGGGACGAAUCUUUUAAGCCUAGUUACUACAUGAUUGGAUAAUGUUUGUCAAAUAAAAACGAGAGUGCUACAGUGUCAAAAUCCAAAAACUUUUGGAUCUAAACAAGGCCUUAUUUGAUUGAAUUUCCCCCCUACUACUACUAGCUAUGCUCAUACUAUCCCUAGACACUUAAGACAGCAUCUCAUUCAACAUUCUCUAAAAAGAACAUCUCUCAUUCAACACAAAACCAAUGUAUGAACUCAUCCUGUCAUCCACGACCUAUUAAACGGUUCAACUGCACAAACCAUAAAAUCGCGUGGAAGCUUCAAAAGAUACAUACUACGCGUCACCUGGCCCAAGUAUUUAUUACGUAAACACGCCAUCUGACCGAAUUGGAGUUUGUUUCAUAUGUCCUUUUUGAACAGGCCGGUUUUAUCUUUCACACAUAUUUGCUUGUAUAUUAGCAGAUGGCCAGUGGCAAGACCUUUCGUCCUUUUCCCCAAAAAAGAUUAGAAAAUUUAGUUGGUCGUCAUUGUUAUUUCCACAAUCCCGUGGAUGGGUACAAGCAGUAGUUGCAGCAGUUGUUGAAGUCUUUUCAACGAGCCUGCUGUUCCUCUAUCUCGUUCCACUCUCUCUCAAAAAAAAAAAGUUUCCUCUCUCUGUCUCUCUCUCCAAACCAAGAAGAAGAAAACUGGUGGAGAAGCCUGGUAGUGUAACCUGUUGGAUGUUGGAAUAAAUUGACUCCGCUACUUGGUGCUUAUGCACGGUAAUCAUAAGUUAAAUGCAGCCAGCAAUAAAGUGGUAAAACAGUAUCCUCGACAAUAUGAUAAAAAGGGAUAGAAGGUCGCUGUUUCAUCUUCUGGUACAAGAAAGGAAAUGUGGAAUGUCAUGUUGCAAAGUUGUGUCUGAGUGGAAACUAAAGGGGCUUUUGCUUAUAUAUCGUGCAUCCAUUCGGCGCCACGUCGUCAAUUGUGUCUUGUGACAAAAGUGUGGGCACAAUAUUCUGCCACCACAUUGGAUUAGUGCUAUGAUUGAGAUCACACAUAUUCGUCUUUCCUAAGGUAUAGUUCAUUUUAGAUCUUGUUUGGCUAUUUAAUCCAUAUGUACCACUCCGAUACACGUGGAUUGACUUGAGGUGAAUAUGAGUACGUACAACCUAUAAGUUCUUAGUUUUUUUUUCCACCCUACGUCAUGUGUAACUUUAAUCAAAUUUUCUUUAAAAAAUAUAUAUUAGUAUCUAUUAAAUGCAAAUAAACACAUUAUUACAUAGAAAUUUUAAUAAAAACUAAUUAGAUGUUGAUGUAUUUUGUAUAACCUUAGUUAAAGUCAUAAAUGUCUGAUGUAUUAGAAAAUAAAACUAAAAUAGUCUUAUAAUUUAGAAAGGAACGAGUAGCUAUUUUGUCCAUCUUUCCUAAGAUUUCUGCCUACAGAUAGAAUCUUAUAGUUGUUCCUUUUCAUGUAAUCAAAUCUAUUUAUUAGAUCAGAUAUUUUGAAAAGAUAAUUUAGAUGCUCGACACUUGUGCUUCUAGCCCUUUGUUACUUUCACCUUCCUCUUGUACUUCCCCAAUCACUCCUCGGCAAAUGUGUGCUUGCCUUUGUCAUAGUUGAAAUUCUUUCUCAUGUGAUUGUAGCACUUUCUUGAGUGGUGAUUUUGGAGGGUUUCCUAUCACCCUACACUCCAUUGUAUUAAGAUAGGAGUGAAAGAAGUGCAUUUCACGAUGGGUUUCCUUUUUUUACUCCCACAAACAUUGGCUUAAACAAAACAUUGCCCAUUAAGUGUUACUGCUAAGGGGAGUACAAACUAAAAAGACAUUUAGUUCUAUGAUCCAUCUAGAGUUAGAAACUGAGCCAAAAGUGCUAUAUCUAUGUAUAAAAUUGAUCUAAACUCUAUUUUUCUUAAAAACAUUGCUAGGUAAUAGAAGUGCUUAUGUGAUAAAUUAUUAAUAUCGAUGACAUGCAUUUUGAUAAAACUCCUACUUAAAAAAAAUUAGCCUAGCUAUUUUGUCCUCUGUCUCCAAGAUUUAAUUCCUAAAAGAUAGUCAUGAGUAAAUGACGUGACCUUUUAUUUUUUUUUUCUUCUAGGGGAUAGUACUCUUUGAAGCAUUAUUAACUUUAUUAUAUAAGUUGCCCCCGGGCCUGGCCCACAUCAAAGUUCCCUGGUCCCACCUCUAGCAAAAGAUCGUGACAUGAUGACCGCCGCUGUGCGCAACAACGACAACAUCGGCACACAUCUGGGUGAGUGGUGACACUCCUUUCUGUGGGUACCAAUUAUGUUUCGUCCCAAAAGAUAAUAGAGUGACGACUCUCACACACACACAGUUGCACGUGCUGUUAUCAGACCUAGUGCAACGCGGUGGAGAGCGAUCAAAGGCGACCACAGAAAACGCGGUGAAGCUUCCAAACGAGGCCCACGAUGCCCUGCUGUCCUGAGUCCUGACCCGCGCGCGGUCGCGUGUGUUGACUUCAAUUCAAGGACGCACGGCUACGGCUACGGCUACUCCGGGUCCCGUCCCGGAAUGGGCAUGGGAACGGGGGGCUCCGCUCCGGCUGGGCUGGGUCCGUCAGACCGUCACGGGCUCGCGAGAUCUGGCGGUUUCCCUUCCCAUGGGCACACGAGCUUCAAGUCAACGGAAGCGCUCCUCGUGUACCGUACCCAUCGCGCUGUCCUGAUUGCUGGUCCUGCGGGGAGCAGGUGCGCUGUCCUGUUGGGGCUGCAUGCUGCUGCUGCUGCUGGGUCUUCUCUGUUCUGACCGGCUCGCCGUUGUGCCUGCCUGCCGAGUGCCGGCCGAUCGACCGGUCUGGAGCCUCAACUGUGAAUGCACGGCUGCGCAUUUUGUGGCACGUUUUUUAUGCUCACUUGUUCAUGUUUAUACUCCUACUUUUACCUACUACUAUAUAUUGGAGUCGUUGGUUGCACGGUCAGCAACUCAGCACGUCGCGGCAACAUCACAGAGCGUGUUUUGUACUAUAUUCUAUUUCUUGGACCAGUUUAAUUAGUUCAGUGUAGUAGGGGGAUUCAGUGGCUUCAAUCAGACUGGUCACUGUUGAUGGUUAGAGUGUUCAUAUUGAAGUGCAAGUGUGGUUAGUAUACUCAGAUGACAAGUGUUUUCAAAACACAGAGUCAUUGAAAGAAGGGCUAUUAACGUCCAAUCCGUUCAUUGCUGCUGUGUUUUCUAUUCCUGCUGUGCAACAUGUUUUGUAAAGGCCUUGUAUAGUUCGCAAAAAAUUUUAAGAUUAUCUGUCACAUCGAAUAUUUGGUCGCAUGCAUGGAGCAUUAAAUAUAGAUGAAAAUAAAAACUAAUUGCACAGUUUAUCUGUAAUUUGUGAGAUAAAUCUUUUGAGUCUAGUUACUCCGUGAUUGGACAAUGUUUGUCAAAUAAAAACGAAAGUGCUACAGUAGCUAAAAACCAAAAUUUUUAUGAACUAAACAAGGCCAAAAGCAAAAUCUAAGUUAACAAGAAUGUAAAUGAAUAGGUUUGUACUAACUUCCAGUAAAAAAAAAUGAUGAGCAUCUUUCUGCUGGUGGGAGUGCGCCGGAACUUGAAACCAUCCCAUCCAUACCUGAAUCGAUGAAGAAUCAACAAUGCACUAGCGCACUAGUGGAUAGAUACACGGUCGUCUCGUCUCCUCCCAGAAUGCUUGCCAGCCCGGCUCUGGUUGGAUGAAGAACCAAUCAACAAUGAUAUGAAUCCAACCAAGAAGACUUACGACGUGGAAAAGCGUGGCCUGGCAUGGCCUUGUUUCCCCGGUUUCUGUGGUCGACCACGGCUGGUCUCAUCUCAGAUGAGAUAUGAGUACCGGACGCCCUUUUGGGUGUUUGGUUGCUAGCCACAAUUUGCCACACUUUACCUUAGGCAAGUUUGACCAAGUUGGUAAGUGUUUGGUUCACAACUAACCUUAGGUAUGAUUCUUUUGGGCUUCACAUGUCAUAGAGUUAAAAAGUGUGGCAAGAUUCCUUUAGGUAUGGUAAAGUAUGGCAACCAAUUUGCUAGCCACACUUUUUGUGGCUUGCCACACUUGUCUAAAGUUAGUUGUGGUAGAUUGUGUCUAGCAACCAAACAUCCCUUUAUCUUGACUCGAUGGAGCUCCACCCCUUUUGGACCUACUCUACUCUACCUCUACACAACACAGCGGACACCGCCACACGACGUCGAUCGUCGAAAAAGUUUCGGCGGCGCACCGCAUGUCACGCCGGCCCGUCGUUGUUGGUCAAUCAUCGGACGGACAGACAGACGGACGGAGGCGCAUGCAACUGAGUGCGUUCACUGCCACAUGGAUGCCGGCCGAACGAGAUGGGCAAUUGGGCACAGACCGGCCAACUUUCGUUUUUAUUUAACGAACAUUAUCCAAUCAUAAAGUAACUAGUCUUAAAAGAUUUAUCGUGCGAUUUACAGGUAAACUGUGCAAAUAGUUUUUUAUUUUCGUCUAUAUCUCACACCUUUGGAGACUUGAAACUGAAUCUAUUAAUUAUUCAGUAGUAUUUUUAUGAGUAAAGUCCACUACCGGUCUCUAAACUUGUGUUGUCGUGUCAUCCCGGUCCCUAGACUCACAAAUCGAUUGUUUAGGUCCUCAAACUUGUUCAUAUGUGUCAUCCCGGUCCCUAAACUUGCUCAAUUGUGUCAUCCCGGUCCCUAAACUUAGAAAUCAUCCGUUUAGAUCCUCAAAGUUGUUCAGUUGUGUCAUCUCGGUCCCUAAGCUUGGUUUUGAAUCUCAUCUGGGUCAAAACAAAGUGAUCUAACAACUCUAUAUCAAAAAAUAAUUAAUAACUUUUUCAUAUGAACUCAAUUGAAGACAAGUUUUAUACCAAAGUUAUAGUCCUCAGCACAAUCUACAACUUUGUAGUUGAAAAGUUUUUUAUUUGAAGUCGUUUAGUGUUAUAAAUUUAAUUUUAAAUUUUAAAAUCUAUAAACUUAUAAAAAAUAUUUUGGGAACCUAAACGAUUUUAAUUUAAAAACUUUUCAACUGCAAAGUUGUAGAUCAUGUUGCUGCCUACAAUUUUGAUAUAAAGUUUAUCUUCAUUUGAGUUCAUAUGAAAAAGUUAUGAAUUAUUUUUCAAUAUAGAGUUUUUAGAUUCGUCUUGUUUUGACCCAGAUAAGACUUAAAAACAAGUUUAGGGACCGGGAUGACACAACUGAACAAGUUUGAGGACCUAUAUGCGAGAUUUUUAAGUUUAAGGACCAGGAUGACACAACCGAACAAGUUUAGGUACCUAAACGGUCAUUUUGCGAGUUUAAGGACCGGGAUGACACAUCCGAACAAGUUUAGGGACCGCUGAUGGACUUUACUCUAUUUUUAUCUUAUAAUAAAUUAAAAACAUACUUUUUACUCAGUGGCGGAUCCAGAAAUAAUAUUUAGGGGGGGCUGGGCCAAAGAGAGCUAGAGCAAUUGGACUCAAUUAUAUCCCAUACGAAGCUAAACUAUAGCAGUUUUGAACCUUUUACAUGAUAACUAUAAUAAAUAAUCGAAAGCGUAUUAUAAAACGCAUAAGUAUAAAAAUAAAAGAUACAGUUUUUCAUAACUAACCAACAAAGAUCGACGUUCCGCACUUUCGCACUGCUGCAUUCUUCAUGAAUCAUUAGAAGCAAUCUAUAUACAGAAAAAAAUUAGUGACACAAAUUUCAAGUAUACAACUUCAAAGUUUUGGAGGUACAAGAGAACACAUAUCAUACCACUAAAUUGUUCCGAGGCACUAACAUACGCCGUGUUUUCAUGUCUUCAAAUCUUUUUAUGAUUUUGUCAUUCUUGAUGUUUCUAAAUAUCUCCUUCUCAGUGUAGCAUAUCAUUUGGUCAUUGAGCCAUUCAUCACCCAUUCUGUUACGUAAAUCUGUCUUUAUAAUAGACAUAGCAGAAAAUAUCCUUUCAACUGUAGCUGUUGCCACUGGAAGAAUUAAUGUUAAUUCAAUGAGCCGAUAAACCAAUCCAUAAGAUGUUUUCAUAUUGGUCUUCACCAUAAUUUCAGCAACCUUUCCAAGCUCUGUACAUCCAAGAAAGUCUGGACUUUUUCUAGCACGAUUGGCAAAUCCUCUAAGUUGAGCAGGCAAACGAGCAAGGUCACCAACAUAAAAAUCCGCAGCAUAAAUUUCAGCAAGUCUUACAAGUUUUUCCACAUCAAAAUUAGAAAAGCAGUUCCUUGGGUUAAGACAUGCCAUGCAGACUAAUAAUUCUGAACUAACUUCACCAAAUCGAUGAUUCAUCUCACACAAAAUGGCAUCUAUGGCAGCAAGGAAAACCUCAACAUGGAAGAAGUGCUUGUUUGUUACCUUUAGCUUUCUACGUGUAGAUGUCCCUCUAGCAUUUGUUUCCUUGUCCAUAUCUGGCACUUCAAUCUCAUUCUUAACACAAAAUGCUAUCACUCUUGACAACAAGGGAUCCCAUCCACUGUCCCUCAAAUCCUGCAACAGCUCUUUCACAUCUGUGAUCAAAUGUAUUGCCUCAACAAUGUCUUGAUCCUUCCUUUGCAAAGCACGUGAUAGACUAUCAGUAAUGCUCAACAAUUCUAUCAUUAAAUGCAUUAUGAACACAAAAUCAAAGCUCUCCAUUUUACCAAUUAAACCAAAUCCAGCACCAUUGCUUGUUGGUUUAACAGAGUCUUUCUUGACUAUCUCAAGAAUGUCUGUGACAGCUUCCCACAUCACCAAAAUACGAAGUUGAUGCACUACUUGAGCCAGAAUAAUAUGCGUGCAAUGUUCUUUUGGACAUUUUCAACAAUCUGCAAUUUAUAAAAUCUUAUAAUAGAAUUUGAAACAAUUAAAAAUUACAAAGUUGAAGUUAAAAGGAAAAUUCUAAAGAAAACGAACAUGUAUAUUAGUAUAUACCUGCCGCUAGGUGCUUGGUUGCUUGCUGUCGCUUGCUUGCCGGCGGCGGCUUGCGUCUUGGCGUCUUGCAAAUUGCAAUACACCUCAGCGCCUUGCCUGCUCGGCUGCUCGCCGCGCGUGCAGUCCCUGCUCGCGUGGGCGUCCGCCGUCCGGCCAGUGGCCGCUGCCGCCUACCGACGGCGUGCUGGGCUGCCGUCUGCCGCGUCGCCCGUCCGCUGCCGGCCUGCCGCUGCCCGUUGCCGUUGGGAUCCCGUCCGCCGCGUCGCUGGGAUCCCGUCCGCCGUGCUGCUGGCCGCGCAGCUGUCGCCGUCGCCGCCGGCCGCCGCAACGCCGCGCCGCGCGCCCGCGUGCAGGAAAACCUAGGUGCUCUGCUCGACCUCGACUGGCCUCCCCUCCUCCCUCACGAUGGACAGGAAAACAAUGAAAAAAGGCCUGCUUCUUAAUGGGCUCCGAACAGCUUCUCUAUUUUAUAUACUGGGCCACUCAAUGACUCAAAUACAAGAAAAAAAAGCCCAGGAACAAGACUAGCGCCAGCACUCGUCUUCAACCUCUGUCCUCGCCGUCGAGAAUACAUCCAGCCCCUCCUUCCCUAUAGAAAAUGGCUCAAACUUGUAUGGGGGGCUAAGGGGGGGCUCCACUGGCUCGGACAGGGUAGGGGGGGCUAUAGCCCCGGCAGCCCCCCCUUUAGAUCCGCCCCUGUUUUUACUGUAACUUUCCAAACAAACAAAUAAACUCGCUCCGCGGCGGCGACUACGGGCGAAACUGAGACGUGUCGCUUCCCUCGUCUCGUCGUCUCCUUUCCGAAUUCCAACGCGCUGCGCGGCCGUAGUGUCUGUCUGAUUCGCUUUAGACCUUGAUUGGAUGUUGUCAGAUUCACCUUAAUCCACGUGUGUUGGAGUAGAUUGGGUGGAAUUUAGUUCAAUUUCCACUCCAAUCCACCCAACGCACGUGGAUUGAUGCGAAUCCGAAACAAGGCCUUACCUGGGUUGUUGGUGGGCUGGGUUCCGCGAGCAACAGGCCUGCCUUGUCAGAUGGUUUCCAUCUCUGUUCUGUUCGUAUCGGGCCGCUAGGGGGCCGAGGCACUAGGCCAGCACCACACGAGGGCCCGAGUGGGGUUUGCUGGCUAGUUCAGCGGGUAGAAAAUCGUUCCGCGGGCCGAGCUGGUGGGCUGGCAGGACACGUGGUUGAUCUUGUUCCUCGGGGGAAAAAAAACGCUCUCUUCUUCGAGUGACACGUUGACACCGUCUUUGUAAUCAAACGAUUCAUUCCGAGACGAAUCAUCUAGAUCACUCGCUCCCCUCAAAAAGAACAAAAAAAUUCUAGAUCACUCGCUUCUUCAGUGUACUGAUUGUAAAGUGACGUAUAAUCAGUCCUGGUCCUGGACAAAUGACAUGCGCGGGCUACGGCCAGGCUGAUUGCUCGCAGGACUCGGUCGAAGUUGUGCGUGACAGCUGACAAAAUCAGGGCUGUGGCUGCCUACAACUACAAGAAAGUCCACUGGAAAUCUAGGACGUUCCUUCUCCUAACCGCCGCAAGCCUGCAAUGAUUGGAAGGAAAACAGUAAUCAAUUUUAUUAAACUAUGUAUAUGCAGAUUUUCAUAAUGACAGGAUGUGCGUAGGCACAUGCAUAAUAGUCUUCUGUUUCGAAAACAGAAAGUCAAAGCACAGACAAAUCAAAAUCAAAUUACCCGCGAAAGCUUUGGACCUGUCGUCUGUCGACGUGGUCGAAGCAAAAGACCUGCCCAUUUUAAACGUGUUUCAGCCGACGACCGUGUUUCUCUCCGCGGUCGGCGCGCAAUAAAAAUUCCCCGGACACGUCACAUCAACCGUCCGGCCGUCCAACCUGUUUACAGUCGCCCAGAGCCUCUGGUGGCCGUCCGAUCAUCCCGCGGAAUAUCCCCGCGGUUCCCGGUGCAGCCCCCCCAGCACCUUCUCGGAACGGUCCGGAGCUAAUGCUCUGGACCCCCUACUACUUUCUCUUAUCCAAAACCGAUCCAGACUUGAACGUGAGGAGGACUUCAUAUAAAAAUAGGAAUUUUUUGUGUGGCCGUCCGGGGAAAAGGUAAAGGAGGGAAGCUACCGGGCCCUAUAGGGGGGGGGGGGGGGGGGGGGGGGGAGGAGGAGGAGGAGGCAGACGUCGUCGGAGCACUUGCACGCGUUCUUCGCCUCUCACCCCACGGGACGGGAGGCGAGGGCGCGGCGAGCGAGCCGGCGGGCGGGCGGGCGGGCGCAAUCGGACCUGGGGAGGCAAAGGAAGUUCCGGAGAGCUGUAGUUCCUUUUCGCCUCCCCAUUUUCCCUCCUGAUUUGGGUUUGGUCUGCUGCGUCGAUUAGUCCGGCGACCGAAUCCCGCAACAAUCCCAUUCGCCGAGGGAUCGAGCAAGCCAGGCGUGGAUCGUAGGCGGUAGUCCGUUCCUGCCCCUGCUCCUCCUUCGCCUGCUCUUGCCGCGGUCUCCCCUCCGGCCGAUUUGGAGCCGACAGGUUGGUUUGGUGAUCGCUCGAGCUUUUGCAUCGGUGCUGUUCCAUUUGUGAUGGGGGAGAUGUGAAUGCGGGUGGUUUUAAGGGCGUGUUGUUGAUCUGUGGCGAGGAAAUUGCAUGCUUUUGUACAGUAUUGCUGGUCAUCAGAGCCAUCUUUUUGGUCGUUGGAAUGAGGUGGCAGGGUGGUUGGUGUUAGCUUAGAGGGAUUUUGUUCGUAGAGGAAAAAUAUUUGCUUGGCUGGCAUAAUUGUCGGCUUGAAGUGUAAUUCAGAUUGAAUUGUCAUUAUGUUCUUAAAAAAAUGUAUACAUACUUGAUAACAUGCAAACACACAUUCUGUUUCGGUGAUAGGUUCGUGUGAUUAGUUUCAUCAACAAAAGGGAUUUGUUUUUAAUUUUCUGGAUUUAAUUGUCAAUUAAGGCCUGUUUCGGUAGAGAGACUAUGUUGCAAAUCAACCAUGCCAGAAUUCAAGUUGUUCUUCAAAUCUUUUUUAUUACAUAUAUAGCCUAUUAAUCGUUGACUGGUCUGAAAAGUAGCAAGAGCAAGAGCUAGGUUGAAUUGUAUUUUGUCUUUAUAGAUUUAUUUCCAGCAACUUAUGCUAAAUAUUUCGUUUGACAUGAUAUGCGUCAUUUCCUUGCACCUUCUUACUGUGAAAACUUGUUUAUCUGAUUCAGCUUACUUUGUUCCAAUUGACAGAUCAUUAAAUUUUCCUUGUCAUACAUUCCCAACCUUGAUAUAAAGACCUCCUACAUUCAGAAGCCUGUGUUUUGGAAGGAUAUUUCACAAUGAAGCCCAGUCAGUUGAUUCUAUCCAAUCUUGAUAUAGACAGGGGAUACCCAUACAAGUUCCAACCAGAGUUUCCAAUGUCUCAUGAUCUUGGAUUGAAUUUGUUUUCACAAGCUGGUACAGUGCUGGGUACUUCUUUAAGACAUCAUAGGAAGAUUUGUUCUUCAGGAAAUGUAAUGGUCCAUGGAGCUUUCAAUCGCCUCAACAAGCUUUCCCGAGCUCUCUAUUUCUGGCUUUCUAGACCAUCUGAUCCUAAGAGUUUGCGCUGGCUGGCAGCUGUAGCAGCGACCAGUUCUAGAUCUUGUCAGUUGCGUUUCAACCAAAUGGGUUCUCACAUGCAGAAGUUGACUAGACUGCAGUUCAGCUUUCUAGUGAGACAAGAGCAAGCAAUACAACUAAUUUUAGCUAGGCUUGCAAGUGGAACGAUUGGGCGACUAUUGAAUGAGCAGCAACAUGCCUCCAAUCUUCUUACUCUAGCCGGCGCUGCUGCUAUCGUACCACCACUUGAAAAUAUGUGAGGACCAUGCUCCAAUACAGUUUUGUUUGUAUUUGUGAUGUACUCUCCUUAUUCGUUUCUUUCUGUUGUAUAGUUAUCUCUAGUUAACUGAUGAUUUCCAUUUUUGAAUGGACAAGAUCUCCAAUGAUGCUUGCCGAGUCAAUCGCAUCGCGAAAUAUUGAUAGUGAUAUCCGAAGACUUGUUGAUCAGCCUUAUGUAGAAGGAAAAGGCCUAAGUUGUGCUUGCCCUUCUGUGCCUAGUACUAUAUUUCAAGAAGAUCCAAUUGAACCAAAAACUGGAAUCAAAUUCCCAGCAUUUCUGGAAGAUGACUCCAGUCCAUCUGCAGCGGUAUUUUCCUUUUCCUUAAAACCAUAGUUUCUCUUAUUCCGGUGGAAUUGAUUUUAUUUCUUACGUAUAUAGAAUUUUUCAUUUUAAAUCAUUUUCAUUGUUAUGCAAGCUAGUGGUGUAUAACAAUCAAUACAUAAAUGUACCAGCUGGGUACAUGUUUGUGAUUUUUUUCUAUUGAAACUUGCUUCUUUGACAAUUUAGAACUUAAAGUCUACAUAAUUGUAUAUACUGUAUACUGUUAUGCAUCCAGUAUCUGCACAAUGCAAAUUUUUUUAUGGUUUUGAAACAUUGACUUAAAGCUUUCAGUUUUGGUAUAUUACUUUUCAGUUUUCAUAUAGUUCUGUAAAAUUCUUCGUUUUGAUCCCUCCUUGUGACAGUUUCCAUUGAUAAUUAAACCUUCAGGUCCUUGUUGGGAUAGGUUUCAAAGGCAUGAGAGUAAUGAGGGUCAAAAAUCUGAACCUGUAUGCUUUUGGUUUAUGUGAGUUACAGAAUUUUUUCAAUUGGUUCUGUUAUGUAUCAGUUUGCCAGUGAAUACUGCUUAUUUGACAAGCCUCUCUUUGCUACUGAUGAAAUUUUCUUAUAGAUAUGCAACCGACUUCUAUCCAGGAGAAGCUGGGUCCUAAGUAUGCUUCAUUUCCAACGGACAAGCUGAUGGACAACCCUGAUUUCUAUAGCGAUCUUCUCAGGUAUAUUGAUACAUCAUUUUCAUGAUAGUUCUGUACUUGUUGCUUACCGCAAGGUCCUGUUUGUAAAGGAGGUUUUGGGAUCUGUUUCUUAGGAUUUAGUUCUAAAGCCUAAAAUUUCUAGAGCAAAUCUCAUCUCCCAGUCAGGCCCUACGUGAGUUUUUGGUGGCCAUACAUUUUGGGAAAUGCAUAGGCCUAGCACUGACUAAUGCGGCUGCACAAAAUUCAGCUCCCUUGUUAAGUAAUGUAAGACCAAAGGUGCAUAUGGAACAUCCACUGAGCUGGAUAUUUUUUGUGCUAGGUGGUUACUGGUAGCAAUACUUGCUAUCAGUUGAUAUGUUAUCAUUAAAUACAUUCCUGCUUAUAUCUGCAUUUGUAUUAGGUCAUCCAUGUCAGAAUGUAUGUGACACAGGUGCUCAUGCAAAGUUUACAGCCUCAUUUGCAUAUAUACAAUCACUUAUUAAUCCUCAGAGUACAGAUUUUUGUUUAGGGGACAAGCAGAUACCGUAAGAUUCUGAAUGUUUACAUCGAAUCUGUUGUUUUGGAGUAGGACAAUAGUUCUCCUUGUUCAUCCUGUUUUCUUCUGAUGCUAAUAAACUUGUAUUGGUAUUUUCCAGGGAAAACCUUGAUAUGAGGGUUAGGUUGGUGGUUAACUACAAUGGCCUUAGCGUUGGUGCAGUGCGAGAGUAAGAAAAACAAAACUGUCAUGAUUCUUCGCUCUCAGCGAAAUUAUGUUGUCUUUUGAAGACAAAACUCACAAUCAUUUUAUGUUUCUUGCAGCGUGUUUGAGAAGUCCCUUGGCCUGCGUCUGCAGAAGGUACUUUGUGGCUCAGCUGCUACUGCAAUUCUUUUCUAGUUAUGUCGAGUGUAGAACUGACUUACAGGUCUUCUGCAUUUCCUUUCAACCAGAUAAAUCCUAACACUGACUUUCACUGCUUGAAGACCUUUGGUUCUCACUUCACAGAAGAUAUCGCCAUACCUUCGGUAAGGUCUAAUCCAUCAUUUGAGGUUCUAUAAGUUUAAACAUGAUCGCUUGACUAAUUAACUACACCCUCUGUUCCUUGCAGUAGCAAUAAACUUACCUUUACCAACCUAGGAAACUACGUGGCAUUGUAAAUAAGAAGAAAUGUGCUCCCAAAUUUUGAGUCCAAGUGGACUCAAACCUGGCUAGUGAUGUAAAACCACACCUACCAUCAAUUAAGAUAGGCUCGGUUCCUACAAUUAGUACGAUAUUUUUUAUAAAGAAGAUUAAAGAAAAUCUGUCUGAACAAUAUUGCAACCAAGUAGAACUAGCUAAAUAAUUACUGUGCCCUAUAAAUCUCUAGUAGGUUGAUAAUACAGAAAAAAAAAAUC
Molecule: long non-coding RNA, 30169 nt
Filed under: Sorghum bicolor (sorghum)
Lineage: Eukaryota; Viridiplantae; Streptophyta; Magnoliopsida; Poales; Poaceae
Description: long non-coding RNA (SBIC_LNC016948)
Rfam family: MIR5565 microRNA precursor family (bases 24894-25000)
Source: RNAcentral